Molecule: ribosomal RNA, 406 nt
Filed under: uncultured bacterium
Lineage: Bacteria
Description: partial 16S ribosomal RNA
Rfam family: Bacterial small subunit ribosomal RNA
Source: RNAcentral
AUUGAACGCUGGCGGCAGGCCUAACACAUGCAAGUCGAACGAGUGGCGGACGGGUGAGUAAUGUAUGGGAAACUGCCAGAUGGAGGGGGAUACAUACUGGAAACGGUAGCUAAUACCGCAUACCAUCGGAUGUGCCCAGAUGGGCUUCGCUUGUAGGUGAGGUAACGGCUCACCUAGGCGACGAUCCCUAGCUGGUCUGAGAGGAUGACCAGCAACCCUGGAACUGCAACACGGUCCAGACUCCUACGGGAGGCAGCGGUGGGGAAUAUUGCACAAUGGGCGCCAGCCUGAUGCAGCCAUGCCGCGUGUAUGAAGUAGGCCUUCGGGUUGUAAAGUACUUUCAGCGGUGAGGCGUUGCCCGCUGAAGGAGCACCGGCUAACUCCAUGCCAGCCGCCGCGGUAAUAC